AAGCCCUGGAUGUCCUCCUCUCCGGUUUUCAACGAUUGAAGCUACUCCUGUUUUAUAUCAGUGCUGCAAUGAAAGCAACGUAUACAAAGGAAACAUUCACAGGUUCUGAGGAGUUCUUGACAGCCUCUAUUGCGUGUACUUUGCAGGCUUGAAAGGACUGCAUUGCUAUAUUAUGGCUGUAAUAUAUAAUGGACAAGCAGCUGUAUUUUUGACAAGAAAAGAACAACUGCAAUUCAGCCUGUAACAGCAGCUAAAACAAUUUCUGGAGUGCUCAUAAGACAUUUCUAAUUUCUGGAGUG
Molecule: non-coding RNA, 299 nt
Organism: Sturnus vulgaris (Common starling)
Lineage: Eukaryota; Metazoa; Chordata; Aves; Passeriformes; Sturnidae
Source: RefSeq, a predicted model, not a curated record